Passer domesticus (house sparrow) is the source of this 2447-nucleotide long non-coding RNA. RefSeq lists it as uncharacterized. The record is from RefSeq and is a predicted model, not a curated record. The transcript is spliced from 2 exons. NCBI's taxonomy places the organism in Eukaryota, Metazoa, Chordata, Aves, Passeriformes, Passeridae.
GUAAUGGCUGCCCUGACUGGCUGCUGGGGUGAGGGACGUGCAAACCUUGCUGCAUGGAAGUAUGGGACUGAUCAGUGCUGCCGGGAUGAGGGAUCUGCGGAGGAGGAAAAAAGCAGGAAAAGAAAGUGAGGCCACAAGGAGUGGAACAACAGUGUUAAGGGAAGAAAAUUCUGAUUGAUCCAUCCCAGGUUACCCAGCCCUAAAUACACUGGGCAAAUACCUGCAUUUCCUGGAGUGACCUACAGAGUAUGUCUGGAGCGAUCAACUUUCUCUGCCUACCACUGUGCAAGGGCCACCACAUAAAUCUUCAAAAUAGGAAUGCUAGGAACUUCCUCAGCAGCAUUCAGCUCCAGUAAGAGAAACCUCAGGUCUGAAAGGACCGAACAUCCAAUCCCAACUCACCUUGUAAAUGGCCAAAGUGAAUAGUAUGUGCAAACUACAAGAAGCUGCUAACUGUGUAAAAGGAAAGACAAAGCCAGAGAAGAACACGGGCAAUAUCUUAAAACCUCAGUUCAACCUCACAAUUUGUUUUUGUAUGAACUGUCUCUUCAAAGACAUGCAGCUACACAAUUUAUUAACGUGUUAAAGGCAUAUGUAUUUCUCUAAAAGCAUUAGUGACUUUAAAAUAUGCCUUUCUUGAGUGUCUGCUACAGACAAACAGUCCAUUUUGAGAGAAAAGAACAAAAGAGAGAGGAUAAGAAAGAAAAAAGCAGAGAUUUUAUAAUACUGAAAAGGCUGUGUGGGAGCACUAAGAGUCCUCCAAUGUGGACUGAAAAAUGCACAGCCACAUUGACAAGGUUAAUCUAAUUCUCCUCUGCUAAAAGAUCUGAAAACUGAUUCUCAUUACAGAAAACCAGCCACUGACAUAAUGUAGGAAUCUGCUUUAGCACUGCUUCCUAUUCCCAAAUGGUAUUGCUUGAGUAGCAUGAUAGAUGAGGGAGAAAUGAGGCAAAGGUUUACUUUAAUUGCCAGCUACCAUAAGCAAGUAUUAAGAUUUGCUACAGAUCGGCCCACAGAACUGGAAGUCCAUUAACAUUUGCCUAGAUACACUCCCAAGCUCUGGAACAUGCACGGCCUUGAGAAACUUUCACCUCUGCUAUAUGUAAACACCCUCAUUUUCAGAAAUCUACAAAUUCUUCACUUUUAUAUUCAACUACUUCAUAUCCUACCACUUCAGAAAUUUCACCAGGGCAACUAUUACAGCAAAGGUAUGGCUGAUGAAGUCAAGAGGCAGGUGCCAGAUAAUGGGAAGCGAAGAAGAAUUCCCUGUGACUCUGAUUUGAAGGAAAGCAGCUGUGAGUGGCUCAGGCUGGUUCACCCAUUUCCUCUCACUACUGUAUUCUAAUAGUGUGUGGUUGAUUCUUGUGCAGAGAAUCCUGACCACUCCAUGCUGUGUAUGCGGAAUGUGCCAACGCAAAAUGACAUUUGCGGCAUGUUUGUCCUCAUUUAUCAGCCUGUGAAGUGGUAAAGUAUUACAGCUUCUGGACUCUUCCUUUGCAGACAGUCUUGGUACCUGGACUCUCUCCAAACUAUAUGAAGAACUCUUUCUCCACUGUCUUCUAUUUCUCACCAUCCUCCUUGGAAAACCCACUGCCAGCUAGAGGAGACAUUGACUGAGUAGGCUUUUGCUGAGCAUCUGCUACCACGUUUCCUCAUUACAUUCUGAAAUUGUACUUUCUAGGAUUCACUAAAGACACGGCACAUAUGACUUGUCAAGUUAAACAUCCUUCCUGUGCAGUAACAGCGCACUUUAAACCCCCUGCUCUGCAACUUAAAUGAACAUAAAAGGAUGUAUACACACCCCACACACAGAGUUAAAAUAGAUGACUAACCAUGCCUAAGAGCUAAAUGCUGCUGGUAGCUUUUCUAUCACCUCGUUGCUGCAGUACUGCAAUUUCUGGAGGUAUAUGAAGUUCUGUAUAGAAAACUCAGUGCUCUGAGCAAGCUGCUUUUCCAAUGCACAGUUCUGCCUCACCAUUUGAGACCUGAGUAACCUCUAUUUUUCAGUCUCUUACAUUGAUAUUUUCAGACCAGUGGCAGUGUCUCUCCUUGAAAUCUGCAAGCUUGUCCUAUUACCAAAAGUUUAGAAGUGCCUUUCAUGCUACUUGAGUAGAAUUCCCCCUCAAAAUGCUUUGAUGCAAAUUUUGCCCUCAGAGAAAAAGCCAGGGAAGAUAUUGUCCCUGCUCUGAAGUCAUCCAAUAUCUUGCUUUAACAAGCUGUCUCUUGGAGAUGGAUAUUCACAGUCCUGCUGGCCUAGAGAAUGAGGUACAUUUUUUUUUCAUGUGUCAGAGCAAAGCACAAUGAUUAAUACAAGCACACUGAGCCAGGUUCUUUCUUUCAGAUAAACAAGCUUAAAUGACAAUUCAAAAAGUGCAGAAAUCCUUCUCCAAAAACUCAAAAUGGCCAGAAAUUAAAAAUUGGCAUUUCCAGCAUUUCUCAAGACUACU